AAAAGAAACCAACAGGGAUUGCCCCAGUAACGGCGAGUGAAGCGGCAACAGCUCAAAUUUGAAAUCUGGCCCCCAGGGCCCGAGUUGUAAUUUGCAGAGGAKGCUUUUGGCGCGGUGCCUUCCGAGUUCCCUGGAACGGGACGCCAUAGAGGGUGAGAGCCCCGUCUGGUCGGACGCCUAGCCUGUGUAAAGCUCCUUCGACGAGUCGAGUAGUUUGGGAAUGCUGCUCUAAAUGGGAGGUAUAUGUCUUCUAAAGCUAAAUACCGGCCAGAGACCGAUAGCGCACAAGUAGAGUGAUCGAAAGAUGAAAAGCACUUUGAAAAGAGGGUUAAAUAGUACGUGAAAUUGUUGAAAGGGAAGCGCUUGUGACCAGACUUGGGCCCGGUGGAUCAUCCAGCGUUCUCGCUGGUGCACUCCGCCGGGUUCAGGCCAGCAUCAGUUCGCCGCGGGGGAAAAAGGCUUCGGGAACGUGGCUCCUACGGGAGUGUUAUAGCCCGUUGCAUAAUACCCUGGGGCGGACUGAGGUUCGCGCUCCGCAAGGAUGCUGGCGUAAUGGCAUCA
RNAcentral lists this ribosomal RNA (561 nucleotides) under Purpureocillium lilacinum. Its description in RNAcentral is "eukaryotic LSU rRNA". It matches the Rfam family "Eukaryotic large subunit ribosomal RNA", at positions 57 to 642 of the family's 3401-position model. The record is from RNAcentral. Lineage: Eukaryota; Fungi; Ascomycota; Sordariomycetes; Hypocreales; Ophiocordycipitaceae.